RNAcentral lists this ribosomal RNA (410 nucleotides) under uncultured beta proteobacterium. Its description in RNAcentral is "bacterial SSU rRNA". It matches the Rfam family "Bacterial small subunit ribosomal RNA", at positions 9 to 421 of the family's 1533-position model. Lineage: Bacteria; Pseudomonadati; Pseudomonadota; Betaproteobacteria. The record is from RNAcentral.
GAGUUUGAUCUUGGCUCAGAUUGAACGCUGGCGGCAUGCCUUACACAUGCAAGUCGAGCGGCAGCGCGGGGGCAACCCUGGCGGCGAGCGGCGCACGGGUGAGUAAUGCAUCGGAACGUGUCCUCUUGUGGGGGAUAACCAGUCGAAAGACUGGCUAAUACCGCAUGAGCACGAGAGUGGAAAGCGGGGGACCGUAAGGCCUCGCGCGAGAGGAGCGGCCGAUGCCGGAUUAGCUAGUUGGUGGGGUAAAGGCCUACCAAGGCGACGAUCCGUAGCUGGUUUGAGAGAACGACCAGCCACACUGGGACUGAGACACGGCCCAGACUCCUACGGGAGGCAGCAGUGGGGAAUUUUGGACAAUGGGGGCAACCCUGAUCCAGCCAUGCCGCGUGUGUGAAGGAGGCCUUCGG